Long non-coding RNA from Dalotia coriaria, 332 nucleotides. RefSeq lists it as uncharacterized. NCBI's taxonomy places the organism in Eukaryota, Metazoa, Arthropoda, Insecta, Coleoptera, Staphylinidae. The record is from RefSeq and is a predicted model, not a curated record. The transcript has 2 exons.
CCCCAAAACAAUCAAAUAUCUGUACCGCAAAAUACAAAAAUGUCAUUUUUAUGACUUCUCCGUGUGAAAAUUACAAAACAAUCGUAGAUGGUCGAAAGAACAGCACGGCGAGAUGAACCGCACGCUAAAAUCACUUGGCUAGACUAAAACAAAUCGGAAAACCCGGGCUCGCAUGAAGUUGUGGUCUUAUUCAACUAGCGCCACCUGGCAAAUUUAUUCUCAAUCUAAUUGGACACAAUCAAAGUCUAAUAUUGAAAGGACUUUAUCUGGAUCACCCAAGAAUGUUAUAAGCCAAUUUUAUAACAAUAAAAACUUAAUUACACCUGCAAUAA